Helianthus annuus (common sunflower) is the source of this 2020-nucleotide RNA transcript. RefSeq lists it as uncharacterized. Lineage: Eukaryota; Viridiplantae; Streptophyta; Magnoliopsida; Asterales; Asteraceae. The transcript is spliced from 4 exons. The record is from RefSeq and is a predicted model, not a curated record.
AAAAAAAAAAAAAAAAACCAAUCGUCUCCUGUAUGUUCGUUCCAACCCUAGUCUUUCCCGAUUGGCUUCAAUGGAGAUCAUCGUCAUCGUAUUCGUUGCUCGGUUCAUCUGAUUAUUUCAGUUACGAUUCAGGUUCUUCUUCCUUCAACUUGUUCCCUGUUUGGUAUACUAGAAGUAUUGGAAGAAAUAUAUAUAUAUAUAUUCAGGUUCAACUUCCUUCAACUCGCUCGCAAUUGAUGGCUGGCAAUGGGCUGUCAAACUUAGGCCGUGUGAAGCUUACAGAUCUAGUAGCUUCUGAAGGUCUUCCCUCUGACACAUACAAGCUCUCCGUUUCCACUUUGUCACAAUCUCUUGCUCAAUAUUCUGCUGCCAUCAUCCAGUUUCCAGCAAAUGAGGCUGCUCUUCUAAGAUGUUGCCUGGAAUCUGCUCGACCCUACUUUAAUCAAAAACCCUCAUACCCAUCUGCUGCUGACAUUAAUGAUUCCCGCGAAUGGUGCAAAACCUCAGGAUACUCAGCAGAUCCCCAAAUGUGGCAAGAAAGUUAUGAUUACAGACCCGGAAUGACUCCCAACAAUGACAUUGAAUUCCCCCCUGCUGGAUUGCUUGAUGUAUUCCCCCUCCUUGGAAAAGCAGCCCGUGCUAUCCUCGAUGCUGUCAGUUUCUAUUUGAACCUGCGCAGCUGUGCCUUCACCGAGAUACUUGACAGUUUCCCGUUACGAAAUCGAGAAAUAUCAUCUUCGGUUUUAUCUGUUACUUGUCAUGCAAGGCCCUCCUUUCACCAUAACUUAGCAACACAAGAAGAAGAAGAAGACGACGUUGUUGUUAUGUUCUCGGACCAUGAUCAUCAAGUCGACAAAAGUGUAUUGUCUAUUAUAAAAUCAGACAAGGCUGGCUUUCAUAUUAGAGAUUUUAGUGGUCGUUGGGUGCUUGUGGAUGGUGAUCUUGGUCCUCAAGAAGCGGUUGUCUACCCUGGACUUGCUUUGUACCAUGCUACUGCUGGCUAUGUUAGCCCUGCAUUGCAUAGAACUGAUAUUAGUAGUAGUGGUAACAACAUGUAUGGGCGGUCUUCUCUUUCUUUUAAACUCAUGCCUAAAUCCAUGACUAGUCUUAGUUGUUCAGAGAUGAGAGCUGCUGGUCAUGGUGUUGAACCUCAGUUCCAGAUUCCAGUAUCUGUUGAUGACUUCAUGCAGAGAUCUCAUCCGUUGGAUCAACUCUUCAACAGAAACAGUUUCCCAGCUUUCAGUUUUCCUACCGCCCAACAAGGAUCUAUGAAACCGUUAAUGAAGAGAAAGAAGAACAAUUCUAGGCUAAAACCGUUGCCUCCUUCGAAAAGGUUACGGCUGGAAGCUCAAAGAGUUCUUAAAGAGAGAGUUCAGGACAUAGCUGAUAAGAAAGGCAUCAAGCUCAGAUUCUGCACAUUGAAGGAGUGUGAGAGCCACAUUCAUACACUUGACAGUCCAUGUGGCAACAUACGACUGGAGAUCGGGUGGCCCCCAGGAGUGCCGUUUGUACAUCCCCAUGACCUGCCUAACAAAGCAAAGAUUGGAUUUCUUGAAACAUAUGAACCUGGUUGGUCAGCCAAUCAUGAUAUGGAGCUCAGUUUGAUUGAAACUGGACAGCCAAGUCAACCUGCCGAUAACUAGGGGUUGGCUUGUGUUGCAAGAAACGGCGCACGGUCUGAGAUUAAGCUGUCCUGAAGUCACCCUCCUUUAUUCGUUUACUGAACGGCGCUAUCUUUUAGCACAAAAGUUGACAGACAAUAUACUUAAAGUUGAGAGGCGUGGUCCUUCAGCUCCCAGGGACUAUUGACUAAAUAACUUGUAUUAAGCAAUGUUUUAAAAACCGGUAAAUACCGGCCGGUUAUACCGGUAUUACCGUUUUUUGAUGUAAAUCCGGUACGAAACACCCCGGUAAAUAAGUGAAACAGGAUAAGUUUUGUACCGGCGGUAAAAUCCGGUAUACCGGUUUGAAAGUAAUACCGAUACUGGCCCAUGUUGUUUUAGUUUGGGUUGUUACUUAU